CUCCAGACCCCAGCAGAGUGUCCAACGGUUCCAUUCCAUUCUGCCCUGAACUACCUGGAAUUGGUCCAGACCCCACAGGUCAGGGACUCAGCCCACAAGACGGCCCCGCACUUCAGAUGCCAAUCACAGAUCGGGGCCUCCAGUGCGUCUGACUGACUGGCCAUUAAUAGAAGGCUCCUACAGCCCCUCCCUCCUCAAGUUUGAUAAUUUGCUAGAAUGCGUCACAGAACACAGGGAAGUGCUUUACUUACUAUUACUACUUUAUUACAAAGGCUUCAACUCAGGAACAGCCACAAAGAAGAGGUGCACAGGGCCAGGAGGAGGCUUCUGUUCAGCAGCAAUUUGGAUACAAACCCAGCAAGGUUCCUAUUUUAAAAUCCUGGCUGAGAGUAGCGGCUCGUGCCUGCAAUCCCAGCACUUUGGAGUCUGAAUUGGAAGGAUCUCUUGAGGACAGGAGUUCAAGACCAGCCUGGGCAACAUGGAGAAACCCCUGUGUCUACAAAAAUGUUUUUAGUUAAAAAUAAAUAAAUAAAAUUCUGUGAUUUCA
This 547-nucleotide long non-coding RNA is filed under the name Homo sapiens (human). Its description in RNAcentral is "HSALNT0197486". Lineage: Eukaryota; Metazoa; Chordata; Mammalia; Primates; Hominidae. The record is from RNAcentral.